GGCCAUCCAAGAGUUCUGGAAUAUUGAACGAGGUUUUCUUCGCGGAUCCUUAGUUUGGUUAUUUAUGCAAUACACAUUCUUAUAAUUGCAUUGCAUUGCACUGGAGCAAGUUAUGAAGAAAAGUGAUGCAGCACUAGCAGCUCCUCACCCAUCAAAAAAAACGGAGGAAGGUCGAGACCAGAAUGAAGCGCAGCAGAGCUGUGAAUCAGACCAUCAGUAUCAGAUUAUAGCUGGAGAAAAAUCACUGAGUCCAUCACAGAACAUCAGCCAAGAGCGAACUAAAGCAAGUCAAGCCCGGCCGUUCACGUGCCUCCAGUGCGGGAAGACCUUCAAACGGGCCACGGAUGUCAAAGGUCACCUGCGCUAUCACUCAGGCGAGAGGCCUUUCACCUGCGACCAGUGCGGGAAGAAAUUCAUCUUGGCGUCGCACUUAAAAACACAUCUCUCCAUUCAUUCAAAUGAGAAGCCUUUCUUGUGCUCUAUCUGUGGCAAGAGUUUCUCACGCCUCUGUACUUUCAAAGAUCACGAGAACAUCCACACCGGCGUGAGAGCGCACACUUGCUCCGAGUGCGGGAGCGCAUUCGUCACGGCCAACGCACUGAAGAUGCACCAGCGCGUUCACACCGGAGAGAAACCCUACAAGUGUUCACACUGCGGCCGGAGCUUCAGUCACUCGGGAGCGCUGAAGAGACACGAGCGCGUUCACACCGGAGAGAGACCCUACCACUGCCCUCUCUGCGGCCGGAGCUUCACACAGUCCAGUAAUCUGCUGACACACGUCAAGAGACACUGUCCGAAGUCACGCUGAUCAAACCAGGACCACAUGUGAACACAGCCACAUUCAGAAGCAAAGACAGUAAUCCCCAGUCACUAGGGAUGUAACGAUGAAUCGCGAGCCGGUUGAAAAUCAAUUUCAAAAUGGGUUGAGAUGCUCAACAAAGUUUAGAUGGUAUUUUUUUCUGUUCAUCUUGCCUCUCUAUAAUGCAUAUUAAAGUUCAGAAGUGCAGUGUUGCUUUGUUUACCGCGGUAACCAAGGAAACACUUUAAGCUCCACCUGCUGCGGUGUUCAUAAGUGCUUUGUUUACCGCAGUAACCAAAGCAACGCUUUAAGCUCCACCCGCUGCGGUGUUCAUAAGUGCUUUGUUUACCCCGGUAACAAAGGAAACACUUUAAGCUCCACCCACUGCGCUGUUCAUAAUGCUUUGUUUACAACGGUAACCAAGGAAACGCUUUAAGCGCCACCCGCUGCGGUGUUUGUAUGUGCUCUGUUUAUCACGGUAACCAAGGCAACGCUUUAA
Molecule: RNA transcript, 1298 nt
Organism: Carassius carassius (crucian carp)
Lineage: Eukaryota; Metazoa; Chordata; Actinopteri; Cypriniformes; Cyprinidae
Gene name: gastrula zinc finger protein XlCGF49.1
Exons: 3
Source: RefSeq, a predicted model, not a curated record